GGCGGUGUGCCGUCGAGCAACGUAAGCCGCAGGUCCGGCGUCACUCGUCGCACAGACUGUAAAUCUGCCGGCUCAGCCUACCCAGGUUCGAACCCUGGUGCCGCCA
Molecule: transfer RNA, 106 nt
Filed under: Streptomyces globisporus
Lineage: Bacteria; Bacillati; Actinomycetota; Actinomycetes; Kitasatosporales; Streptomycetaceae
Also listed under: 1 other name
Description: tRNA-OTHER
Source: RNAcentral